This 102-nucleotide non-coding RNA is filed under the name Clostridioides difficile. The record is from RNAcentral. Lineage: Bacteria; Bacillati; Bacillota; Clostridia; Peptostreptococcales; Peptostreptococcaceae.
UUUGCAUACUCUGCAAAAGCUCCAAAAGUCUUAGCUCCUAACAUUCCAUGGUCAUCACAUAGUGAAAAUAAUCCUCUUUUACAAUAUUCACAUUCAUUACAA